RNAcentral lists this ribosomal RNA (465 nucleotides) under uncultured bacterium. RNAcentral's name for it is "partial 16S ribosomal RNA". It matches the Rfam family "Bacterial small subunit ribosomal RNA", at positions 28 to 507 of the family's 1533-position model. The record is from RNAcentral.
GAUGAACGCUGGCGGCGUGCUUAACACAUGCAAGUCGAACGAUGAAGCCCAGCUUGCUGGGUGGAUUAGUGGCGAACGGGUGAGUAACACGUGAGUAACCUGCCCUUGACUCUAGGAUAAGCCCGGGAAACUGGGUCUAAUACUGGAUAGGAACGUCUACCGCAUGGUGGGUGUUGGAAAGAAUUUCGGUCAUGGAUGGACUCGCGGCCUAUCAGCUUGUUGGUGAGGUAAUGGCUAACCAAGGCGACGACGGGUAGCCGGCCUGAGAGGGUGACCGGCCACACUGGGACUGAGACACGGCCCAGACUCCUACGGGAGGCAGCAGUGGGGAAUAUUGCACAAUGGGCGAAAGCCUGAUGCAGCGACGCCGCGUGAGGGAUGACGGCCUUCGGGUUGUAAACCUCUUUCAGUAGGGAAGAAGCGAAAGUGACGGUACCUGCAGAAGAAGCACCGGCUAACUACGUG